RNAcentral lists this ribosomal RNA (254 nucleotides) under uncultured bacterium. RNAcentral's name for it is "partial 16S ribosomal RNA". It matches the Rfam family "Bacterial small subunit ribosomal RNA", at positions 524 to 776 of the family's 1533-position model. The record is from RNAcentral.
UACGUAGGGUGCGAGCGUUGUCCGGAAUUAUUGGGCGUAAAGAGCUUGUAGGCGGUUUGUCGCGUCUGCUGUGAAAAUCCGGGGCUCAACCCCGGACUUGCAGUGGGUACGGGCAGACUAGAGUGUGGUAGGGGAGACUGGAAUUCCUGGUGUAGCGGUGAAAUGCGCAGAUAUCAGGAGGAACACCGAUGGCGAAGGCAGGUCUCUGGGCCACUACUGACGCUGAGAAGCGAAAGCAUGGGGGAGCGAACAGG